RNAcentral lists this ribosomal RNA (2049 nucleotides) under Triticum aestivum (bread wheat). RNAcentral describes it as "partial small subunit ribosomal RNA". Lineage: Eukaryota; Viridiplantae; Streptophyta; Magnoliopsida; Poales; Poaceae. The record is from RNAcentral.
AUGGCUGCCGACAUGAACCAAUGCCCCUGCGCCGCCGCUCCCAGUCCUUUUCCAGACACAAAUAGUAACUUAGAGAAGCUGCUACCAUUUCGGAUCGGAGCUCUGGUCGUCGUAGCCGUGGUCAUGCUGUUCGUCCUGCACGUCCUCGGCUCCUUACGCCGGAGGUCGAGCAACAAGGCCCUCCACGGCGUCGUGGUGGGGGCCUACUCCCUCUCCUACGCGCUGGUCAGCUACACCCUCGGCCUGAUGCAGUCUUCCACGUACUACGUCGACGAGUUCCCCAUAUGGGCGGUGUGCCUGCUCAUGCUCGUCGGCAACGCCGACUGCCUGACGGCCAGCAGCCUCAACGACAUCGAGAGUUGGAAGAGCUACAUCGUGAAGCACCUCAUCCACGGAAUGUGGGGGGUGUGGAUCGUUGUGUACUUCGGCUUGCUGCCGGGGGCGUCGGACUUCCCGGUGACCAUGAAGGAGGAUGUGCUACGGGCAUGCGAUGAGAGGCCCGACCCGGUGACCAUGCAAGGCUACCGGUACGUGGUCUCCGGCGAGCGCAAGCAGAAAUUCCUCGUGAAGCGACCCGAGUACGUGUUAUCUUACGACAGGCAGUGCGUGAAGAUGACCACCGUGGAGCAGAUCUGGUCGUGCACGGGCAGCCUCCUGAGUUCUGACGGCGGCGGGUUGCUCAAGGACAUGUGCCUCUCCAUGGCCUUGUCCAAGAUGCUCAACCGAAGGUUCGCUGGUUUCGAGCUAGUCGAGGCGGAGCUCGAGAAGACCCACGAUUUUGUGUUCCGCGGGCUGCUCGCCGGCGACAAGCAGAAGCAGUGCGAGCGGGUGUUCAGGGUCGUGGAAGAAGAGCUUGCUUUCGUCCAUGACUUGUACUACACAAGGUACCCUUAUCUCUACCACAAGGGUCGCUACUUCGCCUUCUACUUGCCCUUCGCCAUGAUUGGCCUCUGCCUCUGGGUCAUUCACCUGCUCUUCGAGAAGAACAAGUUCCCGUUGUUGACCACUACCACAAUGGUUUUAAUGGUGGUGGUGGCAUUCUUGGAGCUAUUCCAGCUGUACCUGUACGCGGCAUCAGGGUGGUGCAAGGUGGCGUUGAUAAGGAGCUACGCCGCCAUGCCUGCGUCUGCGUUGCAAAGGAACGGCUUCUGUCAGAUGCUUAUUGGUCUUCUAUUGAGGUUGAAGGCGCUUCGCCCGUGGGAGGACAAGCUCGGCCAGUACUCUCUCAUCGACGCGUUCGACCGAACGCGUCGUGCUAGCAAGUGCCUGCACUGCAUGACAUGCUGCCUAGUCGACAAGCCUAAGAAGGGUCGCCACAGAGCCAAGCCUGUCAAGGUGUCGAGGCAGCUGAAGCAAGCAGUCGUCGAUUCUCUCAUCGAUAGCGAGGGCCGCCUCACCAAUGGGGUCAGAUCCCUGAGAAACAAUGGCGUCGAGCAACUAUUGGAGAGGGCUAGCAACAGAACGACGACGACCCACACCGUUCUGGUGUGGCACAUUGCUACAACCCUCUGCAAGCACAGCCUCGAUGAGCAAGCAACAGACGGGCGGCUGCCCGGAAAUGAUGGAAGCACGAUUGACACGGACUCCUCGGUGGCCUCCAGCUUGUCGCUCUACUGCGCGUACCUCAUCGCCUUCGAGCCGGAUCUCUUGCCCGAUCACAGCUCCGUUUCGACAUUGAUACUCGGGGAAUCCAUCAGAGAAGCGCGCAAGCUGCUCAAAGGGGCCAAGACCAUGAAGCGCAAGUAUGAGAAGCUCAUGGACAUCAGUGAUGACCGGUCUGCCGCCGGCGACGUGUCGCUCGUCGUGGAGGGCGCUCGACUUGCGAGAAGGCUGAACGAGGACAUCCCAGACCCGGCGCGACGCUGGAGGAUCCUCUCCGAGUUCUGGGCGGAGAUGAUGCUGUACCUAGCGCCCUCCGACAACGCCCGGGCGCAUCUGGAGGCUCUGGCGACAGGAGGUGAGUUCAUCACGCACCUCUGGGCGCUGCUCACCCACGCCGGCGUGCUGCAGCGAGAUCGUGGCGCUGGCGGGCCACAGGCUGCUGUCUAA